AAAAUGUUUAAUCGAUAAAGAAAAAAAAUGUAUAUUGCCUUGAACCCAAACCGAGGCAAUAGUACAUUUCUCUAUAUCAUUUUGGCAGCAUUCCUCUCAUAACAUGACACUGCUUUUGAUUAUAAUAAAAAAAAUGAAGAUUUAUCAGCUACACAAUUAGAUAAGUACCGAACUGUGCGGCCGAACCGAGGCAUUGAACCGAAGCAGCGAACCGAAGCACGAGUCGAACCAAACCACAUCACGGAGGCAGAAGGAGGCAUGGCGGCGGAGAGGGUGGAGGUGUAGCAAGCUGUCCCGCCGGCAAGGUCAAUUUUUCUUGGUUUUCCUCGUAUAAUGGUGGUUCUGCUCUUCCUCUUCUGCUGUGGGAGUUAUCAAAGGACCUGAUGAGGACUGUGUGAAGCUCCGUAGGGCCUUAUCUCCACGUGUCCGCUCCGAUCACCAGCGAGGGGGGCGCGCCUCGCGGCAGGGGGUCAGAGCGUGCACCUGUCAAUAACUUCUGAGGGCGAGUGACGUCCGUGUCACCCCACUAGUGUGUGCAGGCCAGGGAAGGAAGCUUCUUGGAGGGCGUUCCAGCCAGCAGGUCCACAGUGCGCCACACCUGAAAGAAGCAAAAACCCGUGAUGAGUCUAGCCCGUGAACCAGGCCUGCGGUGAACUUAAACUUUUGGAGAAAUAAUCACUGUGGGGGCCCCUGGAACACUCAAGAGCUUCUCUGAGGAUCGCCGCCAGCUCACCCAUCCAAUGAGCUCAGAGCUGAAG
Molecule: long non-coding RNA, 758 nt
Organism: Eriocheir sinensis (Chinese mitten crab)
Lineage: Eukaryota; Metazoa; Arthropoda; Malacostraca; Decapoda; Varunidae
Exons: 4
Source: RefSeq, a predicted model, not a curated record